CAGUCGCCGCGGUAAUACGGAGGAUUCAAGCGUUAUCCGGAAUCAUUGGGUUUAAAGGGUCCGUAGGCGGUCUUGUAAGUCAGUGGUGAAAGCCCAUCGCUCAACGGUGGAACGGCCAUUGAUACUGCAGGACUUGAAUUAUUGGGAAGUAACUAGAAUAUGUAGUGUAGCGGUGAAAUGCUUAGAGAUUACAUGGAAUACCAAUUGCGAAGGCAGGUUACUACCAAUUGAUUGACGCUGAUGGACGAAAGCGUGGGUAGCGAACAGGAUUAGAUACCCGUGUAGUCCCUGUCUCUUAUAC
RNAcentral lists this ribosomal RNA (301 nucleotides) under uncultured bacterium. RNAcentral describes it as "partial 16S ribosomal RNA". It matches the Rfam family "Bacterial small subunit ribosomal RNA", at positions 509 to 807 of the family's 1533-position model. The record is from RNAcentral.